GUCAACAUGGCAUAGUGGUUUGAGUGUUAGACUAUGAUUCUGGAAACCAAGGUUCGAUUCCCAGCUUGGCCA
Molecule: non-coding RNA, 72 nt
Organism: Phrynosoma platyrhinos (Desert horned lizard)
Lineage: Eukaryota; Metazoa; Chordata; Lepidosauria; Squamata; Phrynosomatidae
Source: the annotation of a GenBank genome assembly